GUGGACAACUACGGUACUCACCCUUAGGGUCUUCCUGGCUGAGUCCAGUGUUGAAGAGGGCCUCAUUGGAUACCAACUCAUCGGCUGAGGGAGCCUUGAAGUCUUUGAGGGUUCUAAAGUGACCCUCUUCCUCAGCCUCCAGCUUUGGGACCUUGAAUGCUGAAGCCUCCAGUGGACCCUAGCUCGACAAAUCCUAAUCCUCCACUAUAGGGCUAGACACAAGCAAGAAUCGCUCCUACCCAUGA
RNAcentral lists this long non-coding RNA (245 nucleotides) under Elaeis guineensis (African oil palm). Its description in RNAcentral is "long non-coding RNA (EGUI_LNC042425)". The record is from RNAcentral. Lineage: Eukaryota; Viridiplantae; Streptophyta; Magnoliopsida; Arecales; Arecaceae.